This 200-nucleotide ribosomal RNA is filed under the name uncultured bacterium. Its description in RNAcentral is "partial 16S ribosomal RNA". It matches the Rfam family "Bacterial small subunit ribosomal RNA", at positions 29 to 259 of the family's 1533-position model. The record is from RNAcentral.
AACGAACGCUGGCGGCAGGCUUAACACAUGCAAGUCGAACGCUUCGCAAGGAGAGUGGCAGACGGGUGAGUAACGCGUGGGAAUCUACCUAGUUCUACGGAACAACUGAGGGAAACUUCAGCUAAUACCGUAUACGCCCUACGGGGAAAGAUUUAUCGGAAUUAGAUGAGCCCGCGUAAGAUUAGCUAGUUGGUGGGGUA